AACGCGUAAGCAACCUGCCCUCAACUGGGGGAUAGCCCGGCGAAAGCUGGGGUAAACCCGUACGGUCCCACGAAGUCACCUGGUUUUUUGGGUAAACAUUUAUGGGUUGAGGAGGGGCUUGCGUCUGAUUAGCUAGUUGGCGGGGUAACGGCCCACCAAGGCGAUGAUCAGUAGGGGUUCUGAGAGGAUUGGCCCCCACAUGGGUACUGAGAUACGGACCCAACUCCUACGGGAGGCAGCAGUAGGGAAUAUUGGGCAAUGGGCGCAAGCCUGACCCAGCCAUGCCGCGUGCAGGAUGAAGGCGCUCAGCGUUGUAAACUGCUUUUAUCGGUGAAGAACGGCAGUCCUGCGGGAUUGUGUGACGGUAGCCGAGGAAUAAGCACCGGCUAACUCCGUGCCAGCAGCCGCGGUAAUACGGAGGGUGCAAGCGUUGUCCGGAUUUAUUGGGUUUAAAGGGUGCGUAGGUGGUCGUCUAAGUCUGGUUUUAAAGUUGGCUGCUUAACAGUCAAAGGUGGCUGGAAACUGGACGACUUGAAUGGGAUGGCGGUAGCCGGAAUGGGUCAUGUAGCGGUGAAAUGCAUAGAUAUGACCCGG
RNAcentral lists this ribosomal RNA (594 nucleotides) under uncultured bacterium. Its description in RNAcentral is "bacterial SSU rRNA". It matches the Rfam family "Bacterial small subunit ribosomal RNA", at positions 112 to 704 of the family's 1533-position model. The record is from RNAcentral.